ACUCACUUUGUUCUAUCUCUUUGUGUUUUUCAUUUGUUUUUUUAAAAAGAAAGAAAGAAAAAGAGUAGAGGAAUCGUAGGUCUAGGUGUUUAAUUGAAAUUAUUUGCUGAGUUUUUAAAUUAGCUUAAUUAGGUUGGGUUAGCUCAUUAAUUAGUUAACUAACAGUAGAUUAACAUUUGGCUUAAUAUAUUUGUUUUAAGUAUUCACAUGUUGGAUUUGUUUUAGUGCGUUGUGUGAUUUAGAAAUUUAAUUGCAUGAUAAUUAGUCUUAAUUAUUGAGUUAAUUAGAUUUAUUUUGCUUCAUUGUUUCUUGGGAUUGAUCCGUGUGAUUUUUUUUUGUUAUGGCUCAUUUGUAAUUAACAAAAACUAAAAGGUUUAAUUGAAAAUCAAAAAUAGGAAAUAUUAGAUAGGCAUAUAGGAACCUUCUGGAUAAUGGACAACUGUCCAAAGUUGAUAAGAAAAAGAUGCUGAAAAUUGGAUAAAACAUCUGAAAAGGAUAGCUGUACAAAAAUUGAUUAAAAAGAUGCUCUUGUUUCCUUUUUUUUUUACGGCUGAUAGACUCCCUUUGAUAUUCCUUCAUUCAUUUUUCUAUAUAUAGGGAUACAGACUGAAUUCUGGGGGACAUAUACUCACUCCCAUUCUCACUGAUUUCUCUAAAAAAACACUCUAAAAAAUCCAAUUGGAAUACAAAAAAAAAAAGAUUCAAAGUUGCCUUUUUUCUAAGUUCUCUACUGAAUCUGUUUCACUUGGCUGGGAUCUCGAGCUGUAUUCAAGCUUAAGAAACUGCUCGUUUAACUUAAAUUUUGUUGCUGUUUAUUGCUGGCUUGAUUUUCAUCUUUCAUCUUUGUAUCAUCAAAAGUUCAUUGGUUCUAUCUAUAGUUAUUAAAUUUGAUCACUAGUUGGUCAAAAUUUGAUGAUUGAGAAGGUCCAGGCAACGUUGAAGUGCAUCAAUUGAUAGUCUUGCCUUUCUAUGAGCAAUAAGGGGAAUCUAAGAAUUAUGACAGAGGCGUUCUAAUAUUUUAGCUGUUAAGGUUGUAUUUGAUAGAGUAGUCACUGUGAUGUACUAUUUUAUUUUUUUUUUUAAAUUCCAGUAGAUUCGAAGUUUGGUUUUUUGUCCCUUUUGUAAUAUGUUCAGUUUUGAGAGAGUAGUACCCUAGAUUGAUUUGACUUCUGGAAUGUAUGAAAUCUGAUUUGGAACUCUUAUAUUGCUAUCAUUGUUUAGUUACUCUUCAA
Nicotiana tabacum (common tobacco) is the source of this 1232-nucleotide non-coding RNA. NCBI's taxonomy places the organism in Eukaryota, Viridiplantae, Streptophyta, Magnoliopsida, Solanales, Solanaceae. The record is from RefSeq and is a predicted model, not a curated record.